CUACGGGCUGCACCAGUGGGAAAUAUUGCACAAUGGGCGCAAGCCUGAUGCAGCCAUGCCGCGUGUAUGAAGAAGGCCUUCGGGUUGUAAAGUACUUUCAGCGGGGAGGAAGGGAGUAAAGUUAAUACCUUUGCUCAUUGACGUUACCCGCAGAAGAAGCACCGACUAACUCCGUGCCAGCAGCCGCGGUAAUACGGAGGGUGCAAGCGUCAAUCGGAAUUACUGGGCGUAAAGCGCACGCAGGCGGUUUGUUAAGUCAGAUGUGAAAUCCCCGGGCUCAACCUGGGAACUGCAUCUGAUACUGGCAAGCUUGAGUCUCGUAGAGGGGGGUAGAAUUCCAGGUGUAGCGGUGAAAUGCGUAGAGAUCUGGAGGAAUACCGGUGGCGAAGGCGGCCCCCUGGACGAAGACUGACGCUCAGGUGCGAAAGCGUGGGGAGCAAACAGGAUUAGAUACCCGAGUAGUC
RNAcentral lists this ribosomal RNA (464 nucleotides) under uncultured bacterium. Its description in RNAcentral is "partial 16S ribosomal RNA". It matches the Rfam family "Bacterial small subunit ribosomal RNA", at positions 339 to 795 of the family's 1533-position model. The record is from RNAcentral.